This is a long non-coding RNA of Triticum urartu, 955 nucleotides long. RefSeq lists it as uncharacterized. Lineage: Eukaryota; Viridiplantae; Streptophyta; Magnoliopsida; Poales; Poaceae. The record is from RefSeq and is a predicted model, not a curated record.
GAGCAGUCCACGUACACCUUCCGAACGGCCCAUUAGCUAACCCGUGACCUUCUCCUCCCCACCUCGACCAAACCCACCCGCCGCCACGACUGGACUGGAUCCCGCCGCCGCUGGCGGCCGGCCUCCCUCCCCCGCCGCGCCCGGCCUCCAUCCCCCGCUGGUGCGGCCAGCCUCCUUCCACCAUGGCGCCCAGCCUCCCUCCCUCCGGCCGCCGCGCCCAACCUCAUCUGGUCGCCCAUGACUUCUUCCUCCUCUCCAUCCCUCUGCUCAACGACAAGCUGAGAUCCGAUCUUCUUCACUGCUAUAGUUGUACUCGACAACUCAUCCCACGAGGAGGUUAAAGUGGGCUGGUCAUAUCUAGUGCCUGAAGAAGCAAGGCAAGUAUCCACUAGUCUGAAGGAUGUUGGAGACAAAUACAACAUCAGUGUUGCUGGAAGAGAAUGCUUGUAAGAGAAAGUCGGAUGAUGUGGGAUGGGAGUAUGGGAGUCUAGCCGAUGUUUACAACAAGGACAAAGUGAAGUGUUUGUUUUGUAACCAUGUGAUCAUUGGAGGUGUUUAUCAUCACAAGCAGCAUGUGGCUCAUGUUGGUAAUUUUGUGGCUAAAUGUAAGAAAAGCUUGCAGGAAGCUAAAGAUAGGUGCAAGAAAUCUCUUGAGGAGGCAUCUAAGAAGAGGAGGAAAAAUACUUCCCGUGAGCUAGAGCUCAGAGAAGGCGUGAAUAUUUCUCGUGUUGGAGAUCCUUAAGUUACUUGUAUUGGAAGCGCUGAGCCACACAAGAUAGGUCCCAUUGACAGUGGACAUGUCCUAUUGAUCCUAAAUUAACUCAAGUUGUGCGUCUGUGGAACUAUCCCUAUUUUGAGUUGAGAGAAGUCUUUCAAAUAAGAUUCUAGGAAUAAAGUACUUGUGAACUUGAGAUCAUAAUUUAUAAUGCUAUAUGCCAUAUUUGGUCUUGCGUGA